This 464-nucleotide ribosomal RNA is filed under the name uncultured bacterium. Its description in RNAcentral is "partial 16S ribosomal RNA". It matches the Rfam family "Bacterial small subunit ribosomal RNA", at positions 28 to 507 of the family's 1533-position model. The record is from RNAcentral.
AACGAACGCUGGCGGCAUGCUUAACACAUGCAAGUCGAACGGAAAGGCCCUGCUUGCAGGGUACUCGAGUGGCGAACGGGUGAGUAACGCGUGGGUGAUCUGCCCUGCACUUCGGGAUAAGCCUGGGAAACUGGGUCUAAUACCGGAUAAGAGCCAUUUUUAGUGUGAUGGUUGGAGAGUUUUUUCGGUGUAGGAUGAGCUCGCGGCCUAUCAGCUUGGUGGUGGGGUAAUGGCCUACCAAGGCGGCGACGGGUAGCCGGCCUGGGGGGGUGGACGGCCACAUCGGGACUGAGAUACGGCCCAGACUCCUACGGGAGGCAGGAGUGGGGAAGAUUGUACAAUGGGCGCAAGCCUGAUGCAGCGACGCCGCGUGGGGGAUGACGGCCUUCGGGUUGUAAACUCCUUUCGCUAGGGACGAAGCGUUUGUGACGGUACCUAGAUAAGAAGCACCGGCUAACUACGUG